Molecule: transfer RNA, 73 nt
Filed under: Nitzschia traheaformis
Lineage: Eukaryota; Bacillariophyta; Bacillariophyceae; Bacillariales; Bacillariaceae
Also listed under: 1 other name
Description: tRNA-Trp
Rfam family: tRNA
About the family: Transfer RNA (tRNA) molecules are approximately 80 nucleotides in length.
Source: RNAcentral
AGGGAAAUAGCUCAGUUGGUAGAGCAGCGGUUUCCAAAACCGAAGGUCAGGGGUUCAAGUCCCUUUUUUCCUG